AACGAACGCUGGCGGCAUGCCUAACACAUGCAAGUCGAACGAGACCUUCGGGCCUAGUGGCGCACGGGUGCGUAACGCGUGGGAACCUGCCCUUAGGUUCGGAAUAACUCCCCGUAAGGUGUGCUAAUACCGGUUAAUGUCUUCGGACCAAAGAUCUCUUGCGUUUGGAUGGGCCCGGGUUGGAUUCGGCAGUUGGUAGGGUAAAAGCCUGCCAAGGCGAUGUUCCAUAGCUGGUGGGAGAGGAUGAUUAUCCCCACUGGGCCUGAGGCACGGCCCAGACUGCGACGGGAGGGAGCAGAGGGGAAUAUUGGACGAGGAGCGAAAGCCUGACAAAGCAGUGCGGGGGGAGAGAGGAAGGCCGUAGGAUUGUGAAGCUCUUUUAGCCGGGAUGAUAGUGACAGUAACGGGAGAAUAAGCACCGGCUAACUCCGUG
This 433-nucleotide ribosomal RNA is filed under the name uncultured bacterium. RNAcentral describes it as "partial 16S ribosomal RNA". It matches the Rfam family "Bacterial small subunit ribosomal RNA", at positions 29 to 507 of the family's 1533-position model. The record is from RNAcentral.